AACAGACUGAAAUACGAUUGAAAUUACACCAUUUUCCCCUAGAAGUCAAACUAUGAAGCACUUUAUAGUCCAUAAACUAAGCAGGUGGAGAGAUUUGUCAUGUUACGGAAGAGGGAGGUUGGCCCAGUUGGGCGGGGCUCAGUGUAAUGGCUCCGUUCUCCACUAGAUGGCGCUGCUUAGCUUACCAGGGUGGAUUGUUGUGUCCCGUGUAGGUGCGUAUAUGCGCAUGCGUGGGAGGGGCAAAAAUGGCGUCACCCAGCUACCCCCUCUCUUAUCGCGCACCCAUCCUUUGUCAUUGGCUUCUGGCGGCUCCCCACUUUUAUACCCUCCAUGACCAAGUCAUCAGGGUUCCAGGCGGCACUUCCCUCUUGAGUUUUAUCUCAGAUGAGACUGUGUUUCCCGACCCCUCACUUCCGAGGGACCGCGGCUCUGACCCGCUCCGCCCCUCUGCGGGAGGGUCUCACCGAGCACUGGCCGGGUGCCGCCGCCCCCAGGAAUGUUGGCUGGACCGUGCUGCUGACCCCCAGAGACUGCGGCUGGGCUGGGUACCAGCCGCCCCAGAGAAAGUUCCUGCGAUCGGGUGGCAGCAGCAUUUCAGGGAUUAUGGAAAAUCUCAGUGCACAUCUGGCUUCACCCCCAGCGACCUUGUUCCAGCACCAGCGAAUGCGAUUGUUCUCCAGGGUCCACUGGGACCGGGUGGCCGCACAGCCUCUACCGAAUGUCCUCCCAGCAGGGGAACCGCCUCUCCCCAUGUGGCCUGAAGAGCCCCGGACCCCACUCUGCUCCUGGGGUUUCGCCCUUCCCACCGGAGCACCACCAGGUGGACUUGAGGCGCCAGCAGAUCUCGCAGAUUGUGGAGGAGGUACAGAGGGUCGUCCACCAUCUGACCACAGAGAUCAGCCUCCAAGACCUCCGAUUUCAGGCCGUCCCUUACUCUGACACAUACAAUGGGAACAUUAAGGUUUUGGCCCCCAGCCAGUUCCUCGUCACGGUCCCGGUGAAGGGCCUGGUGGGGUACAGGGAGGCCAGGGAGCAGCGCUGGCGAUACUACACCCUGCGGGGCACCAGGCUCCCCUGUCCCUUGCAGGACCCAGAGGGCCUGCGGCAGUGGCUGGAGGCGGAGCAGUUCAUGAAGAGCCAGUGGCAGUGGCAUGAGGCAGACGUGAACAUUGAGGGAGAUAUUGUGCCCGCCAAGGUGCUCCAGGUAUUCCGGAAGCUGGUAGAAAACGCAAUUGGAACCUGUCAUCUCUCAGGUAAGGUCAGCAUGCUGACGCAGCUCUCAGCAGUUUGGGUUGCCGUGGAAACCUCCACAUGUCAGGUGGAACUAGAGCUGGUCCCCACGGUGGAGAUCCCUACCGUCUGGCCCCAGAAAGCUCGCUGGCCUCCCUGUCUGAAGCGCUGGCCUUCCCGACAACGAGUGGAGUGUAUCAAGUCGUUUGGGUUUGCCUUGUUGGCCUGUUCAAAUUAUCACUGGCAGCAGAGUUUCCUGCAGGCUGAGCAGGUGCUGCUAGACCAGCUGGAUGAGGACGGGGGCUGCCGCAGGAAGUGCUUCCAGGCCCUGAGGCAGAUGAAGGAGGAUGUCUGGUGUCCGGGAAAGAGGCCCGUCGUCACGUCCCACCACCUGCAGAACACCAUCGUCUGGGGAGGAGAGAAAAGUUUUGGCUCACCUGACAGAAGAAAAGUCACAUUAACGCCGAUACAAGAAUGAGGUCUCCCGCCAGAAUGAUCAGUUUUCUUGUCAAGGACUUCACAGUGACUUACCGAAUUUAACAACAGUCAACAGAUCCUCCUGGAAAAAAGAAAGAGAGAAGAGGCUGAGGUGCCCCUCGCAUGCAAUGAAAAGGCACCGACCUCUGAACCAGGAAGGGGGCUCUCACCAAGAAGCUUUCCGUCGCCACCUUCAUCCGGGACUUCCUGGCCUCCAGAACGCUCAGAUGGACAGCACUGAAAAAUCACAAAUCUGAGAAACCCAGGACGAUCCCAUGGGCAUGGAGAUUGCUGCAUGGGCCAGAACCCAAGGCCCAAGGGCACAGAGUUCGCCUUCUCUAGACCUUGCCAAACGCUGGCCGUCCUUCCUGGUGGCAAGUUCAGAGGAUCACGGCACACCCCCCACAGAGCAGGUGGAUCUGGCCUUCACACAUGAUGAGCUUUCUGCACGUCCUCAGCUGGGAAUGCACAGGACCCCAUGUUUUGAUGGUUUAACCUAUGAAAUGUAUGAGGAAGCCCGCCCAGGCAGACGCGGCUCCCUCAGGGCCUGGCCAAUGGCUGAGAUGGGGCACCGAAGACAAACGGGUGUUGGCGAGGUGCCGGGGAGCUUACCAGACAGACAGCUAUCCAGGCAGCUCUCCCGGCGGGUGUUCCCGCACCACUCUUCAGGGGUCACCCUGCCCUCGCGGUGGUGUUGCAGAAGCAUAGCCAGGUUCUAGAAUGGAGAAAGGAGCCUGAAGCAUGGGUAGGCCAGAGGAAGAGGGCGAUGGACACCUCAAAGGGCAUCAUAUUCCCUGAGCAUCUCAUGCUAUGGGCUGAAUUGUGUUCCUCAGAAUCCUUAUGUUGAAACCCUAGUCCCCAAGGUAAUUUGGAGACAGGGCCUAUAAGGAGACAGUUAAUGUUACCCGAGGUCCUAAGGGUGGAACCCUGAUCUAUUAGGAUCGGCGUCCUUAGGAGGAAAGACACCAAAGAGCUUGAUUCCUCUCUCUCUCUCUGCUCUGUGAGGGCACAACAAGAAGGUGGCCCCAUCUGCAAGGUAGGAAGAGAGAUCCUACCAGGAACCGAAAUGGCCCCAACCCUUCGGUCUUGGACUUCUAGCCGCCAGAACUGUGAGAAUUCCCAGUCUGUGGCAUUUUGUUAGAGCAGCUGGAUUAGACUCAUGCAACCACCGAGAUGGCAAUUGCUGACAGAUCAGGCUGACCUUCAGUUUCCCCCCUGCUUCCAGCAAUGAAAUUUCAUCCUAGUCUCAGCGACCAUUGUGCCACAAUAUCACUUUGUGAAAAUGAUGGCAAAGGUGCCACUUGUGGAGAAUCUGCGCAGGGGAGGGAUUUCUCUGCCUCAUGCCCACACCAGGCCAUGCCUCUGGUGAGGCCUGGAAAGCCAGGUCAGGCCCCAGUGGUUUCAUGGAAGCCAGCCCCAAGCCUGGUUGCUCCGCUCCGGGGGCACCUAGAACCUUCCAACCAUGACUGUAACAUCCCAGAGAAUGGACUCGAGCCCUGCCUCAUCCCACCCCACCCCACUGUCCAGGACAGCACUCGUGCCAACACGAGGGCCCCCCCCCGGAGUGUUCCUCCCACAGCCAGAGUCACGGGCCACCCACUUUGCAUCCCUCCCUGCAACAAUCCUGAAAGAUAAUGUAGCUCCCAAGGACCCCAAACUUUCCAUGUUCCCCACAUCUUAGGGAGCUCAGUGUAUGAAAAGGCUGGCUCUACACGCUGGUUGUGAUUUAUAAGAAGACUCAGCAGAAUUCCUUUCACUAGGCCCUUCCUUCUUUUCUAUCAAAAAUACAAGGCUUUAAAAAACUUGUGUUUUUCCUUGAAUUCCUCAAUCAAAUGUAUGCUCUGUGAGAUAAAGGAAUAGGAAGAUUUGAAGCAGGUAUUGGAGUUGAUCCCACGAGAACAAGCCAGCCUUGGGCCUCGGGAACAGCUGGCUAGAGCCCACAGUAGCCACUGAGAGGGAAAGGGGGAGAGGAGAGAACGGCCGAGGGUGUCACGCACAAGGAAGCCUGGUGCUCGCAGUUGGGCAGUGCUAGCACUCCGACCCCUCGGUCACCCUCUGAUGUCAUCUGAGCCCAUCAUGUAUCCAGUUCUGGCGGCAACCAUGAGCAUUUCUGACCACAGGCAGUGUGUGCCAGGAGGCUUUGUCCCAUCUGUCCACGCCUGCCCUCUGCCUCUGCUUUUGGCCACCAAGAUCGAAAACACGCCCCCGAGCCCUACAGCCCAGGGGCACCAAGCGACCCACACAGAUGCAUUCCGCUCAAGCUGCCAUCACAGAAAUGCACUUGUGGUGAUCCUUCCUCUGCCUCCAUGAGAGUGUUGAGUGACCUGGUUCUGGGAGCCCCUUAUUUUCUCCUUGGAUCCCAGACACAAAUAAGAAUAAAGCUUGCUUACAUGCCGAGGACGUUUCUGAGCUCUGGUGCCCGCAGAAUUUCCUAGGACUGAGAACGCAAGUCUGUCAUUAUGGUAUUUGCAGAACCAGAGACUGUAUUUAAGUCUUCAAGAGGAUGCUUAUUAUAACCCCUUUCUUGGGACUCUCAUGCCAAAACACUACACGAAUAGUCUUUUUCAAGGAAAUUUGCCAGGGAAGGCAGCAAGCAUCUGAUCACAUAGGAAUAGUUUUGGGUCGAUUUCAAGCUGUAGAGUCUAGGGGAGAAGGAAGUUUUCCUGACGGCUGCCCUGGGGAAGGAGAAUCCACACGGGGCUGUGUAUUGCACAGGCUGCCAUUGAGGGACUGCCAUCUUCAGAAAUGAUGACGGGAACAGUGGGCCUUGGAGUUGAGCAUGGUUGACAACCUUUCCUGGCACGCGAAGUGGGUAUCCACGGAAGACACUGAAUCCUGAUUGAAAGAUUAACGAUGGGGAAAACCGGUGCCUCAGGGGAUAGACGAGGGUUCUGAGCUCUUCUGGGGGAGAAAGCAGACACCCAAGCCAGACACAUUGAACUUCCAAAGGAGUCACGUUGGGGUGGGAGGAACCUUCUCUCCAGUAAAGUUUCUAUUUUUUUUUUUUAAUGUUUAUUUAUUUUUGAAAGAGGCAGAGACAGAAUGCGAGUGGGUUAGGGGCAGAGAGAGAGGGAGACACAGAAUCGGAAGCAGGCUCCAGGCUCUGAGCUGUCAGCACAGAGCCGGAUGCAGGGCUCGAACUCACCAGCCGUGAGAUCCUGAGCCGAAGUCGGAAGCUCGACCGACUGAGCUACCCAGGCGCCCCGUAAAGUUUCUAUUUUUAAAGACUAAUUCCAAACCCAUUUCCAUUGCUCAGUGGUCAAAAGCCAUUUUACCAUUUUGAAUUUCUCUUUGUUUUAAAAACUCAUAAUGUCAUUAGAGAAAGUGCAUCCUACAUCAUUAAUAUCACUAUGAUACAUUAGCACAUUAAAAAAUCCAAAACAUUGUAUCUUUUCUUUUUAUCCGCUAUUACUUUGCCUGUGGGGAGGAAAGGAAGUGCCAUGCACAAAGUCAUGCUCUAGGAAGAUUGAUCUGGAAGUGGUAGAGACACGGAGUCAGGGAGGUGCCUCAUUUCUUCCUUUCUUCAGUAAACAUUUAUUCAGCACUUGCCAUGUGUCAGGUGUAUAAAAAUGGUUUCUUCCCUCCAUGUCAUUUUAGGU
This is an RNA transcript of Neofelis nebulosa (Clouded leopard), 5306 nucleotides long. It is a transcript of the gene named mab-21 like 3, with no coding region annotated. Lineage: Eukaryota; Metazoa; Chordata; Mammalia; Carnivora; Felidae. The record is from RefSeq and is a predicted model, not a curated record. The transcript has 11 exons.